GUGAAUCAUCAAAUUUUUGAACGCAAAUUGCACUCUCUUCUAAGAGUAUGCGUAUUUGAGGUUCAGCCUAAAAAAAAUCGACGUAGUUGCUGUUUAUCGGUAACAUUCUUCGGAAAGUGGUUCAUCUUAUACCUUUGGGUUUAAGCGGCUUAAAAUUAUCUUUACGAUUCCAAUAACGUUUCUAAGGUUUUAUUUUUUUAUAUUCUUAUUGUAUCAUUCUUUAGCAGACAUUGCCAUUGCAUCGUAUCU
Molecule: unclassified non-coding RNA, 249 nt
Filed under: Glomeraceae sp.
Lineage: Eukaryota; Fungi; Glomeromycota; Glomeromycetes; Glomerales; Glomeraceae
Description: partial internal transcribed spacer 2
Source: RNAcentral